This 965-nucleotide ribosomal RNA is filed under the name Rutola sp. SH-2023a. RNAcentral describes it as "SSU rRNA". It matches the Rfam family "Eukaryotic small subunit ribosomal RNA", at positions 87 to 1060 of the family's 1831-position model. The record is from RNAcentral. Lineage: Eukaryota; Fungi; Ascomycota.
CUGCGAAUGGCUCAUUAAAUCAGUUAUCGUUUAUUUGAUAGUACCUUACUACUUGGAUAUCCGUGGUAAUUCUAGAGCUAAUACAUGCUAAAAUCCCCGACUUCGGAAGGGGUGUGUUUAUUAGAUAAAAAACCAAUGCCCUUCGGGGCUCUUUGGUGAUUCAGAAUAACUUUUCGAAUCGCAUGGCCUUGCGCCGGCGAUGGUUCAUUCAAAUUUCUGCCCUAUCAACUUUCGAUGGUAAGGUAUUGGCUUACCAUGGUUUCAACGGGUAACAGAGAAUUAGGGUUCGAUUCUGGAGAGGGAGCCGGAGGAACGGCUCCUACAUCCAAGGAAGGCAGCAGGCGCGCAAAUUACCCAAUCCCGACACGGGGAGGUAGUGACAAUAAAUACUGAUACAGGGCUCUUUUGGGUCUUGUAAUCGGAAUGAGUACAAUUUAAACCCCUUAACGAGGAACAAUUGGAGGGCAAGUCUGGUGCCAGCAGCCGCGGUAAUUCCAGCUCCAAUAGCGUAUAUUAAAGUUGUUGCAGUUAAAAAGCUCGUAGUUGAACCUUGGGCCUGGCUGGCCGGUCCGCCUCACCGCGUGUACUGGUCCGGCCGGGCCUUUCCUUCUGGAGAACCUCAUGCCCUUCACUGGGUGUGCUGGGGAACCAGGACUUUUACUUUGAGAAAAUUAGAGUGUUCAAAGCAGGCCUUUGCUCGGAUACGUUAGCAUGGAAUAAUAGAAUAGGACGUGCGGUUCUAUUUUGUUGGUUUCUAGAACCGCCGUAAUGAUUAAUAGGGACAGUCGGGGGCGUCAGUAUUCAAUUGUCAGAGGUGAAAUUCUUGGACCAAUUGAAGACUAACUACUGCGAAAGCAUUCGCCAAGGAUGUUUUCAUUAAUCAGUGAACGAAAGUUAGGGGAUCGAAGACGAUCAGAUACCGUCGUAGUCUUAACCGUAAACUAUGCCGACUAGGGAUCGGGCGA